This 490-nucleotide ribosomal RNA is filed under the name uncultured bacterium. RNAcentral's name for it is "bacterial SSU rRNA". It matches the Rfam family "Bacterial small subunit ribosomal RNA", at positions 28 to 478 of the family's 1533-position model. The record is from RNAcentral.
GACGAACGCUGGCGGCGUGCCUAAUACAUGCAAGUCGAACGCACUCUCGUUUAGAUUGAAGGAGCUUGCUCCUGAUUGAUAAACAUUUGAGUGAGUGGCGGACGGGUGAGUAACACGUGGGUAACCUGCCCUAAAGUGGGGGAUAACAUUUGGAAACAGAUGCUAAUACCGCAUAAAACCUAACACCGCAUGGUGUAGGGUUGAAAGAUGGUUUCGGCUAUCACUUUAGGAUGGACCCGCGGUGCAUUAGUUAGUUGGUGAGGUAAAGGCUCACCAAGACCGUGAUGCAUAGCCGACCUGAGAGGGUAAUCGGCCACACUGGGACUGAGACACGGCCCAGACUCCUACGGGAGGCAGCAGUAGGGAAUCUUCCACAAUGGACGAAAGUCUGAUGGAGCAACGCCGCGUGAGUGAAGAAGGUUUCGGAUCGUAAAACUCUGUUGUUGGAGAAGAAUGUAUCUGAUAGUAACUGAUCAGGUAGUGACGGUAU